GGGCCCGCACAAGCGGUGGAGUAUGUGGUUUAAUUCGAUGCAACGCGAAGAACCUUACCAGGGUUUGACAUCCUGCGAAUCUCUUGGAAACGAGAGAGUGCCUUCGGGAACGCAGUGACAGGUGGUGCAUGGCUGUCGUCAGCUCGUGUCGUGAGAUGUUGGGUUAAGUCCCGCAACGAGCGCAACCCACGUCGUUAGUUGCCAGCAUUUAGUUGGGCACUCUAGCGAGACCGCCGGUGAUAAACCGGAGGAAGGUGUGGAUGACGUCAAGUCAUCAUGCCCCUUACAUCCUGGGCUACACACGUACUACAAUGCUACGGACAAAGGGCAGCAAACUCGCGAGAGCUAGCAAAUCCCAUAAACCGUGGCUCAGUUCAGAUCGUAGGCUGCAACUCGCCUACGUGAAGGAGGAAUCGCUAGUAAUCGCAGGUC
This 432-nucleotide ribosomal RNA is filed under the name uncultured bacterium. RNAcentral's name for it is "bacterial SSU rRNA". It matches the Rfam family "Bacterial small subunit ribosomal RNA", at positions 917 to 1350 of the family's 1533-position model. The record is from RNAcentral.